RNAcentral lists this small nuclear RNA (106 nucleotides) under Aotus nancymaae (Ma's night monkey). Lineage: Eukaryota; Metazoa; Chordata; Mammalia; Primates; Aotidae. The record is from RNAcentral.
GCGCUUGCUUCAGCAGCACAUAUACUAAAAUUGGAAUGGUACAGAGAAGAAUAGCAAGACCCUGGGCAAAGAUGACAUGCAAGUUCCUGAAGCAUUCCAUAUUUUA